This 372-nucleotide ribosomal RNA is filed under the name uncultured bacterium. RNAcentral's name for it is "bacterial SSU rRNA". It matches the Rfam family "Bacterial small subunit ribosomal RNA", at positions 524 to 898 of the family's 1533-position model. The record is from RNAcentral.
UACGUAGGUGGCGAGCGUUGUCCGGAUUUACUGGGCGUAAAGAGUGCGUAGGCGGAUGUUUAAGUGAGAUGUGAAAUACCCGAGCUCAACUUGGGUGCUGCAUUUCAAACUGGGCAUCUAGAGUGCAGGAGAGGAAAGCGGAAUUCCUAGUGUAGCGGUGAAAUGCGUAGAGAUUAGGAAGAACACCAGUGGCGAAGGCGGCUUUCUGGACUGUAACUGACGCUGAGGCACGAAAGCGUGGGGAGCAAACAGGAUUAGAUACCCUGGUAGUCCACGCCGUAAACGAUGGGUACUAGGUGUCGGGGGUCCAACCUCGGUGCCGCAGUAAACACAUUAAGUACCCCGCCUGGGGAGUACGGUCGCAAGAUUAAA